GAUCCUGGCUUAGGAUGAACGCUAGCUACAGGCUUAACACAUGCAAGUCGAGGGGCAGCAUGGAGUUGCUUGCAAACUCUGAUGGCGACCGGCGCACGGGUGAGUAACGCGUAUCCAACCUGCCCAUGGCUAGGGAAUAGCCCGCUGAAAAGCGGAUUAAUGCCCUAUGGGGUCCUUUGCAGACAUCUAAUGAGGACUAAAGGUUUACCGGCCAUGGAUGGGGAUGCGUCCGAUUAGGUAGUUGGCGGGUAACGGCCCACCAAGCCUUCGAUCGGUAGGGGUUCUGAGAGGAAGGUCCCCCACAUUGGAACUGAGACACGGUCCAAACUCCUACGGGAGGCAGCAGUGAGGAAUAUUGGUCAAUGGGCGGAAGCCUGAACCAGCCAAGUAGCGUGCAGGAAUGACGGCCCUAUGGGUUGUAAACUGCUUUUAUGCGGGAAUAAAGAAGUCCACGUGUGGGCUGUUGCAUGUACCGCAUGAAUAAGGACCGGCUAAUUCCGUGCCAGCCGCUGC
This 513-nucleotide ribosomal RNA is filed under the name uncultured bacterium. RNAcentral describes it as "bacterial SSU rRNA". It matches the Rfam family "Bacterial small subunit ribosomal RNA", at positions 15 to 518 of the family's 1533-position model. The record is from RNAcentral.